This 999-nucleotide long non-coding RNA is filed under the name Fukomys damarensis (Damara mole-rat). RNAcentral describes it as "lncRNA (ENSFDAG00000029760.1)". Lineage: Eukaryota; Metazoa; Chordata; Mammalia; Rodentia; Bathyergidae. The record is from RNAcentral.
GUCCCCGCCCCUCACCCUGGGUACAUAUUAAACCCCAUCCCUUGGAAUAAUGAGAAGCCACGCCCCUAGGCCGCCACUGGCCACAGUCCCGCUUGGCGGGCGGAGCCAAUCAGAUCCCACUGGUAUCCUGGUCACACCCAGACUAAUCCGUCCGCUUUUUCUCUCCUUACUCUCAACUCCUUCCAGUUUAACAAUAAUCCACAUCCUUUGGACCAACUCCCAGCCCCUUCCAAAACUAGCAUUUCCCAUUCCCCGGUGGACAGUCACCCUUCACCCUCCAUCUUCCAGGGAUACCCAAACCCUCGGCUCUCAAGGCCCCGCCCCUUACGCCCUUCACGUCACAGGAGCCAGAAGCAGAAGUACGGUUCUGCGCAUGCGCGAGACGCUGUCUUGUCACCCGGCUUGGGCGGCGGCCAUGUCCCCUCGUGUCUCUGUGCCCGUCUUAAAAAGGGAAAGCAUCUCUGCUUUGGGGCCGGGGGACGCGAAUCUCCACGUCGCUGUCGCUGCCGCUGCGCGGGUCCCUGGAUUUCUGCGCGCUGGGUGAGCUCCGUCCCCGCCUGGCCUCUCCCGGUGCAUUGCGUAGUGUGAAUCUCAAUGUUCUUCUGUCUGUGAUCGUCAGCUUGGCACACUGUAUUCGGAUACAUAAAAGAGAAGUGAUUUAUUUUACAUACUGUGUAACCCGCUUCCUUGCCAAGUGCCUUUUAUGUUUAAUCAAACGAUACAUUUUAGUCACUUAUUUAUAGAGUCUCAAGUUUUACACAGAAAAAUCGCCCAGUUUCAACUUUGUCUUUUUAAAUUCAUGCACUUUACAUUUUUUCUGUGUUUAAUUUCUCUACUGCACCUUCCAGGACUUUCAGUUGGAUGGAGAAUAGUAUGUAAUUUGUGUCCUUGACUUAUUUCAGUUUCAGAGGAAACUGAUCUUAUCUGUCACCCAUAUUAAAUAGGAUGUUAAAAAGACUUCUCUUUCAGUCCUUUCAGCGAGCUCCCCCAACCGCCGUG